AGAACACCUCGCCCGCAAGAGGCCUCUCUUAGGGACCGAAGGGUCCCUGGGCCUGAGGCAAAACAGACUCUGGAACUACUGAACAACCCUAUAUCCCUCUACUUAAUCGACACCUGAACCAAAUUUCUCCCCCAACAGAGCAGUCUCUGAGCGAGAGGAGGAGGAGGUUCCUCAGGACCGCUUAUUGUCCAGGGGUAGGAGUCUCCAUUAGGUGCAAGAGGGUCAAAUUCCCAGAGCAGCCUAGGUCUUCACACCUUUUAAUUUGGGGGACUUAUCAGCCUUUAAGGGCGCUGGUUCUUCCCUUGUCCUGAACUUACUCUCCUAGCCUUCCAGAAAUGGGAGUCUAGAAGUUCCCAUGUGAGGCCCAACCGUUACAAGAAGCAGACAAGGCGAGGGCAGGGCCCAGCGUGGCUUUCUAUGGUGAGCAGGAAUCUGUUUAUGUCUGCACCCUGUGCCUCCAACAGGGCACUUUUUAGUCGGGAAUGGACAGCUGGGAGCAGAAACCAGCACACGUGGCACUGGAAUCCACAACAAGCAGCAAAAACUACGCCCAACGUGGGGCUCGAACCCACGACCCUGAGAUUAAGAGUCUCAUGCUCUACCGACUGAGCUAGCCGGGCGGCUGAGGGUACCCGACUAUGGCCAGGUUUCCGAAGUUGACGGGGUGUGGACCGCCCCAAACGAAAGUAUGGAGCAGGUACCAGGGUCAGUGGGUAAGUGGAGUGCCUGGAUUUGAGGUGGGGGUGGGCUCCGGCUGCAAACGCCAGCAGCGCAUCGCCUCUCCCCACGCCGAUGCCUUGGCCUCCUGACCGAGAACCUUCGGGUCCAGGCUUGACGGUUCUGAGACCUGCCACCGGCGAAGAACGGGCUCCCGAUGCAGAGGAAGGAAACAUCUCUGUCUUCCGUUCCUCGUUCCUCCAGCACAGGCUGACACUGUAGCUUGUUAGGAGACUCACGGAGACACUUUGGCUACUGGGUCUCAAUGAAAAAUUUUAAAACGACAAUGGAAGGGCUCAGAGUGGGCCCUGAGACCCGCAAGUGGGGAAGAAAAGCAGGGCUCGUCCGGGAUUUGAACCCGGGACCUCUCGCACCCAAAGCGAGAAUCAUACCCCUAGACCAACGAGCCGCACACACCUGGCUCCCUCCCGCGGUCCUUCCGCAGGUGACUCCGGUGAAGCUCGCCGCCAUAGUUCAGUUGUCGGUGUCCCCACCUGCGAACCCCAGGUCACAGGAAUAGGAGUCUACAAGCCCCCAUGAGAGACCCAACCGGUACAAGGCGCUGACAAGGACGAGGGCAGGACCCAGCAUGGCUUCCGCUGUUGUUCAGCCGCUCAGUCGUGUCCGACUCUAUGUGACCCCAUGGACGUCAGCACGCCAGGCCUCCCCGUCCAUCAUCAACUCCAGGAGUUUGCUCUAACUCACGGUCAUUGAUUCAAUGAUGCCAUCCAACCAUCAUCCUCUGCCACCCCCUUCUCCUCCUGCCUUCAGUUUUUCCCAACAUCAGGGUCUUUUCCAAUGAGUUGGCUCUUGGCAUCAGGUGGCCAAAGGAUUGGAGCUUCAGCAUCAGUCCUUCCAAUGAAUAUUCAGGGUUGAUUUCCUUUAGGAUGGACUGGUUUGAUCUCCUCGUAGUGCAAGGGAGUCUUAAGGGUCUUCUCGAACAACACAUUUCAAAAGCAUCAAUGGAGAUCAGAAAUUUGUGUGUGUCUGCACCCUGUGCCUCCAACAGGGCACCUUUUAGUCGGAAAUGGACACCUGGGAGCAGAAGACCAACCCAUGUGGGGCAGGAAUCCAAAUAGGCGGCAAAAACUACGCCCAACGUGGGGCUCGAACCCACGACCCUGAGAUUAAGAGUCUCAUGCUCUACCGACUGAGCUAGCCGGGCGGCCGCACAAAGCCACCUGCAGACAGGUGUCGGAAUUUGACGGCUGUGCUGCUGCUGCUGCUAAGUCGCUUCAGUCGUGUCUGACUCUGUGCGACCCCAGAGACGGCAGCCCACCAGGCUCCCCCGUCCUUGGGAUUCUCCAGGCAAGAACACUGGAAUGGCUUUCCAUUUCCU
This 2056-nucleotide transfer RNA is filed under the name Bos grunniens (domestic yak). Its description in RNAcentral is "lncRNA (ENSBGRG00000023766.1)". Lineage: Eukaryota; Metazoa; Chordata; Mammalia; Artiodactyla; Bovidae. The record is from RNAcentral.